RNAcentral lists this unclassified non-coding RNA (198 nucleotides) under uncultured Sebacina. Its description in RNAcentral is "sequence contains ITS2". Lineage: Eukaryota; Fungi; Basidiomycota; Agaricomycetes; Sebacinales; Sebacinaceae. The record is from RNAcentral.
GUACUCUCACACCCCCGAUCUUUGGCUUGGGAGUGGUGGACUUGGGUGUUGCUGCUUUACCGUGGCUCACCUCAAAUGGAUUCGUGCACCUCUUGGUUGGACAUAGUACGGCGUGAUAAGUUUCUUCGCCGGCACCUCACUAGAGGGUGGCUGAUCAGGAGCUCUGUGCUUCAAACCGUCUUCGGACAAUGACUGACA